UCCCUUCCGCAUCAGCGACACCCAAAGAAGGGAAGAGCACCCCAGCAUCCCUCCUCCUCCGCGAUUCCUCCCAGCGCCCGGAUCUCGUCCGUGAUCGACUCCUAUCCGCGUCCUCACCGCGUCUGCCGAAUCCCUUCCGCAUCAGGCGUCCGUCCGCGGCUAUAAAAGGAGAAGGAGGAAGAGAAGAGAGGUGUGCUCGGUU
This 202-nucleotide long non-coding RNA is filed under the name Phoenix dactylifera (date palm). RNAcentral's name for it is "long non-coding RNA (PDAC_LNC012178)". Lineage: Eukaryota; Viridiplantae; Streptophyta; Magnoliopsida; Arecales; Arecaceae. The record is from RNAcentral.